UCCUCGGUAGCUCAGUGGUAGGGCGGUCGGCUGUUAACCGAUUGGUCGCAGGUUCGAAUCCCGCCCGGGGAG
This 72-nucleotide transfer RNA is filed under the name Cyanobacteria bacterium bin.51. Its description in RNAcentral is "tRNA-Asn". It matches the Rfam family "tRNA". From Rfam's summary of the family: Transfer RNA (tRNA) molecules are approximately 80 nucleotides in length. Their secondary structure includes four short double-helical elements and three loops (D, anti-codon, and T loops). Further hydrogen bonds mediate the characteristic L-shaped molecular structure. tRNAs have two regions of fundamental functional importance: the anti-codon, which is responsible for specific mRNA codon recognition, and the 3' end, to which the tRNAs corresponding amino acid is attached (by aminoacyl-tRNA synthetases). tRNAs cope with the degeneracy of the genetic code in two manners: having more than one tRNA (with a specific anti-codon) for a particular amino acid; and 'wobble' base-pairing, i.e. permitting non-standard base-pairing at the 3rd anti-codon position. The record is from RNAcentral. Lineage: Bacteria; Bacillati; Cyanobacteriota.